CCCCCCUCCAGGACCAAGACCUCGUGGCUCUCGUGCAGAAUCCCUUUGGUGCUGGCAGGAAGUGAAAGAGCAAAUUGGUUUUGCAAACUCAGUGAGAGCAUCCUCAGGGAGGCUGAGAAAAGUUCCCCUCUCCCUUUUACUGGAUUCAACCAGCCUGGAAAUCAAGUAAGUUCCCUCAGGGCUAGGUGACUGUAAUUCCCCAGGGCUCUGGAAACCCUUGGGAGGUACAAUCUCCCUAACCUUGGGACUUGAUCGAAGAAGACAUCUAGCCAGAAGUCCCUUGGAGCUGAUAGGCUGCGGUUCCGCUGUGUGUUCUACGCGUGGGUCCUGGUCCUUGGAACAGGAAGGCCGGCACAUCAUGUGCUACCCUCAUCCAUAGCUCACUGAGUCCAUCUUGUGAUGUCGUACAUACACUGGAAGAUGAAUACUCUUGAAGAAAAGGAAAGAUGUGGGACCUGCUGGUACUUCGAGUGUAUUAUCUGGAGAGAAAGAUGAGGAAUUGGCGGAAGUACAGAGAAGUGUACAGGAAAGCCUUCCUAGUCUCUUUUAUGGCUGCUUCCUAUGGGGAGCAGAGGCCACUUAGCCUCAAGAGACUGCUCAGUUGCCUGUGAUGUUCUAACAUCUGCCUUUCUAUGCCCCACUUUCUUCUAUCUACCUUUAUCUCUCAUUUUUCCUACCUUUUUGCCAACUGUAUGUGCCGUACUUUAAAAGGUAUGCAGUAGUUAAAAACAAACGAACAAACAAACGAACAAAGAAUCCAAGGAUAUGGAUUUAAGUGUUCCUCUGCAUAGUUUAUUUACCUAUAUGUACAAAUAUUUAGAUUGAGUAUUUGUUUAUGUUAUUUGAAUGUAGGUAUUAUAUAGAUUUGUUAAAAUAAUAUCCAGCAAUGCCUUAUUUUCAAUAAGUUACCACAUUAGGCUCUAUUGUGGUAUGAAUGUGAACUGACCUCCAUAUGCUUGUAUGUUGAAAUACUUGGUUUUUAGUUGGUGGUAGAAGUUUGGAACCUUGUAAAAUGUGUUUUACACAGAGCCUUGAUGAAACAAGUGCCUCAGUGUUGGGUGAACCUUGGUGUUCAAAAGCCUGGUUCCAUUAUCUAUCAUCUGCUUCCUCACUGCAGAGGCAAUGAAAACAGCCACUGCCUUACCCUCUCUGCCAUGGAAGAAUGUAUAAUUCCUAAAAUUGUAAGUCCAAGUAAACCCUUCUUUAAGACAUUCUUGCCUAAGAUUUCUGUAUUGAAAAAUACCUAGAAUAUCAAUAAAGAAUAUUCCUGGGA
Mus musculus (house mouse) is the source of this 1273-nucleotide long non-coding RNA. RefSeq annotates it as eukaryotic translation initiation factor 2C, 5. Lineage: Eukaryota; Metazoa; Chordata; Mammalia; Rodentia; Muridae. The record is from RefSeq and is marked validated. The transcript has 3 exons.